This is a non-coding RNA of Anolis sagrei ordinatus, 116 nucleotides long. Lineage: Eukaryota; Metazoa; Chordata; Lepidosauria; Squamata; Anolidae. The record is from RefSeq and is a predicted model, not a curated record.
AUACUCUGGUUGCUCUUCAGAGUGUAUAAAUAUUACGCCUUUUACUAAAGAUUUCAGUAGAGAAGAACAGUUAUGAGUUUUUGAUCAAUUUUUUGAGGUUCUACUUUGGUAGGGCU